Molecule: non-coding RNA, 615 nt
Filed under: Lacrimispora celerecrescens
Lineage: Bacteria; Bacillati; Bacillota; Clostridia; Lachnospirales; Lachnospiraceae
Description: bacterial LSU rRNA
Rfam family: Bacterial large subunit ribosomal RNA
Source: RNAcentral
ACCCCCCAAGGCUAAAUACUACUUAGUGACCGAUAGCGCAUAGUACUGUGAAGGAAAGGUGAAAAGGACCCCGGGAGGGGAGUGAAAAAGAACCUGAAACCCUGUGUUUACAAGCUGUGGAACCACGUUUAAGGUGGAACCGCGUACUUUUUGUAGAACGGUCCGGCGAGUUACCGUUACUGGCAAGGUUAAGCACUUAAGGUGUGGAGCCGAAGGGAAACCAAGUCUUAAUAGGGCGAAUAAGUCAGUAAAGGUAGACCCGAAACCGGGUGAUCUACCCAUGUCCAGGUUGAAGUUUCCGUAAAAGGAAAUGGAGGACCGAACGCACAUCCGUUGAAAAGGGUGGCGAUGAGGUGUGGGUAGGGGAGAAAUUCCAAUCGAACCCGGAGAUAGCUGGUUCUCCUCGAAAUAGCUUUAGGGCUAGCCUCGUAUUAGUCUGCCGGAGGUAGAGCACUGAAUUUCCUAGGGGCGUCAAAGCUUACCAAAGAAUAUCAAACUCCGAAUGCCGGCCAGAUGAUGUACGGGAGUCAGACUGCACGAGAUAAGUUGGGUAGUCAAAAGGGAAAGAGCCCAGACCACCAGCUAAGGUCCAAAGUGCGUGUUAAGUGGAAAAGG